This 468-nucleotide ribosomal RNA is filed under the name uncultured bacterium. RNAcentral's name for it is "partial 16S ribosomal RNA". It matches the Rfam family "Bacterial small subunit ribosomal RNA", at positions 28 to 507 of the family's 1533-position model. The record is from RNAcentral.
GACGAACGCUGGCGGCGUGCUUAACACAUGCAAGUCGAACGGAAAGGCCCUGCUUUUGUGGGGUGCUCGAGUGGCGAACGGGUGAGUAACACGUGAGUAACCUGACCUUGACUUUGGGAUAACUUCAGGAAACUGGAGCUACUACAGGAUAGGAGCUCCUGCUGCGUGGAGGGGGUUGGAACGUUUCGGCGGUUGGGGAUGGACUCGCGGCUUAUCAGCUUGUUGGUGGGGUAGUGGCUUACCAAGGCUUUGACGGGUAGCCGGCCUGAGAGGGUGACCGGCCACAUUGGGACUGAGAUACGGACCAGACUCCUACGGGAGGCAGCAGUGGGGAAUAUUGCACAAUGGGCGGAAGCCUGAUGCAGCAACGCCGCGUGCGGGAUGACGGCCUUCUGGUUGUAAACCGCUUUCGCCUGUGACGAAGCGUGAGUGACGGUAAUGGGUAAAGAAGCACCGGCUAACUACGUG